Molecule: non-coding RNA, 829 nt
Organism: Python bivittatus (Burmese python)
Lineage: Eukaryota; Metazoa; Chordata; Lepidosauria; Squamata; Pythonidae
Source: RefSeq, a predicted model, not a curated record
UCUAUUUAUGGUCAGUCCAGGAGGCUGGACAAUUCUUUCCUUUUUAAAAAACAAAGAGAGUUCUUACUUCAGAGUCAAAUUUAAAUGGCUGCAUUACUAAUUACAAGCUAAAAGUCAUAUAGGGGUUCUUGUAGGAAGCCAGCAAAGAAGGUUGCAAAUGGUGAUCACAUGGCCAAGGGAUGCUGCAACGUUGCAAUUGCAAACUGGGCACUGAGCGCCUGGAUUGUGAUCACAUGACCACAGAGACGACAUGAUGGCCGUGUGGUGUUCAGAACUGGACACAAUACUUGAGGUGGAGUCUGACCAAAGUUGAACAGAAUGGAACAAUUUCCAUGAUUUCAAAGGAAAUCCAGAACCAAAGAGAGAAUUGCAUAUUUUCCCUAUUGAAAUAGCCUGAGACAAGAUGAGACAUGUACAUCUCAAGAGAACAAAGUGCAGGUUCCAAAUAUUACAAGAUUUGCAUGGCUACAACUCACCUGUUUCUUUGUCCAAUACUUCUUUGAUAACUGAAGAUCAAGGGUUGGCAACCUCUGACUCUAGGACUACUGCAACACUCAAAGAUCAGGAUGGCCCCAACCCUGCUGGCCUUUUGUAAGGCCAUAAAGACCUGGUUCUGUAUCCAGGCCUGGGGCACCAACUGUUGCAUGGACUGCCUUCUUGCUUGUGUUAGUUAUUUGGGUUGUUUCUCAGCUGCCUGUAUUUUAACUGUUAUAAUGUUUGCUAUUGUUUUUACUGUUUUAAUUCUGUUCGCCACCCAGAGUCAUUUAUUGAGAUGGGUAGCUGUAUUGGGUGAAUAAAUAAAUAAAUAAAUAAAAUAAACUCCUUUUUU